AAGAAAAAGUAUUCCUUCUCCAUAUUUCUUUCUCCUUCUUCCAUCGUCGCCGCAGUCGCACGUCCGAUAGCCACCGGCUGCUCUAUCGUUCUUCUUCUUCUUCUUCUCUCUUAUCUCCCUUGCUCCACCAAACGGCACCUACACACCGACCUCCAUUUCUGAUUUCUCUUCUUCUAUCCUAUCUUCCUCUCUGUAUUGCCGUUCUGGAUUGCCGGCACGCCCCCACGACAACCACGUCUUCUGCUGCAGCUCUCCAUCAAUCGGUCGAAUUCUACCUGGGUCCGAACACAGGGUAAGAGAUUUCAGCGCCAAUGGCUUUUGGAAGCGUCUCGUUCCCAUCUACAGCUCCCAUUUCUCAUGUUCAAAGAUUUCAAGACUUGCAGUCCUUUGGUGGAAUAAACCACGUUAAACCAUACUCGUCAACUGGCCUUGUUUCUGAGUUAGCCUCAAACUGCAAAGCUAGUAAACUAUUUUUGGGCACCAGGGGUUCAUUCCAAACAAGAGCCACAGUGAUAUCUGGAGAAGGAGGAAUUUUGUCUUCUUCCAAUGGCAAUGCUGUUGUGGCGAACAAUACCAAUAGUUUUCCCAUUGAUGAAGAUGAAUAUGAUUUUGAUCGUCCAACAGAAGGUUUUGCUUCUGUAGCCGAUGCCGUUGAAGAUAUUCGCCAGGGAAAGAUGGUGCUUGUCGUUGAUGAUGAGGAUAGAGAAAACGAGGGAGAUCUGAUAAUGGCAGCACAAGCUGCAACUCCUGAGGCCAUGGCUUUCAUUGUAAAGCAUGGAACAGGAAUUGUUUGUGUGGCCAUGAAAGGUGACGAUCUGGAGAGGUUACAGAUUCCACUUAUGGUGAACGAAAAGGAGAACGAGGAGAAACUUUGUACUGCUUUUACUGUGACAGUGGAUGCAAGAGAAGGUACAACCACUGGAGUCUCAGCUACUGAUAGGGCAGCAACAGUAUUGGCACUUGCAUCAAGAGAUUCAAAACCUUAUGAUUUUAAGCGGCCAGGCCAUAUAUUUCCCCUCAAGUACAGGGAAGGUGGUGUUUUGAAGAGAGCUGGGCAUACUGAAGCAUCUGUCGAUCUUGCAAUGCUCGCUGGAUUAGAACCGGUUGGUAUCCUUUGUGAGGUAGUUGAUGAAGACGGUUCUAUGGCUAGGUUACCAAAACUUCGUGAGUUCGCCAAACAGGAAAACUUGAAAAUCAUCUCCAUUGCUGAUUUAGUCAGAUUUAGGAGGAAGAGGGAUAGAUUAGUUGAACGUGCUGGGGAUGCUGCUCGCAUGCCGACUACAUGGGGUCCAUUUCAGGCAUAUUGCUACAGAUCUAUUUUGGAUGGAAUUGAGCAUAUUGCAAUGGUUAAGGGUGAUAUUGGUGAUGGACAAGAUAUCCUAGUGAGGGUACACUCGGAAUGCCUCACUGGAGAUAUUUUCGGAUCAGCUAGAUGCGACUGUGGGAACCAGCUUGCUCUAGCGAUGCAACUGAUCGAGGCAGAAGGCAGGGGUGUCUUGGUUUACCUUCGUGGACAUGAAGGACGGGGCAUAGGUUUGGGCCACAAACUUCGUGCAUAUAACUUGCAAGACGCUGGGCGAGAUACUGUCGAAGCCAACGAGGAACUAGGAUUGCCUGUGGAUUCUCGUGAAUAUGGCAUAGGUGCACAGAUUCUAAGGGAUCUUGGGGUGAGAACAAUGAAACUAAUGACAAACAACCCAACAAAGUACAAAGGCCUAAAGGGUUAUGGCUUAGAAGUCUCAGGUAGAGUUCCCCUGAUAACCCCAAUUACAAAGGACAACAAAAGAUACCUAGAGACGAAGCGUGCCAAAAUGGGGCACGUCUACAACAUGGAUGUUGGUGGACGAUUUAGAAAUCUGAUCGAUGGGCAUGAAAUAUCCAACGGUAGUUCAGCAUCAAGUGAUGCUGUGGCUUGAGCUAGCAAUGUCGAAAUUCAAAGAGAAAAAAAAAAACAGUUGGUUAUCAAAGGUGUUGGAAGUGAAAUGACUGCUGCAGCUGCUGGCUGACUCAUAAGAUAAAAGGCUAACUUGUUCUGAAAAUCAUAACACUGCGUAUUAUAAUUAUUAUUGAUUUGGUUUCAUUUGUCAGGAUUAUUGUUUGAUUAAGUUUGAAACAAUAGAACCAUUGAUGAUCUGUAGAAUGAGUUUACAGUGCUACUCGCUACGGUUCCUAAGCCGUCACAUACGCCUUCUCUUUUUUUAGCCCCUUUUCCUGUUUGGUUUGUCUGACUGCACGAAAAAUGCCUUUUUUUUUUAAAAGCUUUUGAUAUAGCCUUUUCUACUAUAAAAGAGAAAAAAAAGGUACAAAUCCCCUCCCAUGUCUCAUUUUCUACUCAUCUAUACAGUGAUUGAAUGCCUCCUCCGGCUCACCGCCUGCCGAGGUCAGUUCUCCCUCCCCCCAUCUAUAGUUUCAUCCCUUCUUUCCUUUUCCUGUGUGGGUUCUGUUUGUUUCUUGAAAAUUUCAUUUUCGGUUUUGCAGUGGAUAGUGUACUGCCAGAUGUUCACUUCUCAAUUUCUCUUUUAUGUUCCAGCUAAGUGGGAGUCUUUCACUUUCUCCCAUUUGGACGACGAGGGAAAUCAGCUGAGACAAGGGAGGGUGGCCAUUCUGGAAAGCGUCACACUAGAGAGUUCACUACCAUUUUCCAUAACUUGGGGAUCUUGGGAAUUCGCAACUCUCUUUUGCUCGUUCUCUUUCAGUUGAUUUCAGUGGUUUCUUUGCAUCUAUGGAGUUUAGAUUUGUCUGGUUCUUGUUGGGAAAUUUUUUGAGUUGAGUUCCGAAUCUUCUUCUUGUGCACUUUGUAAUUGUGCAAAUUGUGAAAUCCUUUGUAAUGCUGUGUUGUGUUUAUGCGGCUAUGAAUUGUGUUGUGUGUGGCCAUCAAUUUUGUAGGUAAUGGAACUGACUCAUUUUUGCUCUGGAAA
This is an RNA transcript of Cucurbita moschata (crookneck pumpkin), 2918 nucleotides long. It is a transcript of the gene named bifunctional riboflavin biosynthesis protein RIBA 1, chloroplastic-like, with no coding region annotated. Lineage: Eukaryota; Viridiplantae; Streptophyta; Magnoliopsida; Cucurbitales; Cucurbitaceae. The record is from RefSeq and is a predicted model, not a curated record. The transcript has 9 exons.